AUUGAACGCUGGCGGCAGGCUUAACACAUGCAAGUCGAGCGGGGUGAUGGUGCUUGCACUAUCACUUAGCGGCGGACGGGUGAGUAAUGCUUAGGAAUCUGCCUAUUAGUGGGGGACAACACCUCGAAAGGGAUGCUAAUACCGCAUACGUCCUACGGGAGAAAGCAGGGGAUCACUUGUGACCUUGCGCUAAUAGAUGAGCAUAAGUCGGAUUAGCUAGUUGGUGGGGUAAAGGCCUACCAAGGCGACGAUCUGUAGCGGGUCUGAGAGGAUGAUCCGCCACACUGGGACGGAGACACGGCCCAGACUCCUACGGGAGGCAGCAGUGGGGAAUAUUGGACAAUGGGGGGAACCCUGAUCCAGCCAUGCCGCGUGUGUGAAGAAGGCCUUAUGGUUGUAAAGCACUUUAAGCGAGGAGGAGGCUCUUUUGGUUAAUACCCAAGAUGAGUGGACGUUACUCGCAGAAUAAGCACCGGCUAACUCUGUGCCAGCCGCCGCCGUAA
Molecule: ribosomal RNA, 503 nt
Filed under: uncultured bacterium
Lineage: Bacteria
Description: partial 16S ribosomal RNA
Rfam family: Bacterial small subunit ribosomal RNA
Source: RNAcentral